CAAUAAGCGGAGGAAAAGAAACUAACAAGGAUUCCCCUAGUAACUGCGAGUGAAGCGGGAAAAGCUCAAAUUUAAAAUCUGGCAGCCUCUGGUUGUCCGAGUUGUAACCUAGAGAAGUGUUAUCCGUGUUGGACCGUGUUUAAGUCUCCUGGAAUGGAGCGUCAUAGAGGGUGAGAAUCCCGUCUUUGACACGGACUGCCAAUGCAUUGUGAUGCGCUCUCAAAGAGUCGAGUUGUUUGGGAAUGCAGCUCAAAAUGGGUGGUAAAUUCCAUCUAAAGCUAAAUAUUGGCGAGAGACCGAUAGCGAACAAGUACCGUGAGGGAAAGAUGAAAAGAACUUUGGAAAGAGAGUUAAACAGUACGUGAAAUUGCUGAAAGGGAAACGCUUGAAGUCAGUCGCGUUGGCCAGGAAUCAACCUUGCUUCUGCUGGGUGUACUUUCUGGUCGACGGGUCAGCAUCAAUUUUGACCGUCGGAAAAAGUUCAGGGGAAUGUGGCAUCCUCGGAUGUGUUAUAGCCUCUGUUCGCAUACGACGGUUGGGAUUGAGGAGCUCAGCACGCCGCAAGGCCGGGUUUCGACCACGUACGUGCUUAGGAUGCUGGCAUAAUGGCUUUAAUCGACCCGUCUUGAAACACGGACCAAGGAGUCUAACAUGCCUGCGAGUGUUUGGGUGCCAAACCCGAGCGCGUAAUGAAAGUGAAAGUUGAGAUCCCUGUCGCGGGGAGCAUCGACGCCCGGACCAGACCUCUUGUGACGGUUCCGCGGUAGAGCAUGUAUGUUGGGACCCGAAAGAUGGUGAACUAUGCCUGAAUAGGGUGAAGCCAGAGGAAACUCUGGUGGAGGCUCGUAGCGAUUCUGACGUGCAAAUCGAUCGUCAAAUUUGGGUAUAGGGGCGAAAGACUAAUCGAACCAU
This 912-nucleotide ribosomal RNA is filed under the name Pholiotina gracilenta. RNAcentral describes it as "eukaryotic LSU rRNA". It matches the Rfam family "Eukaryotic large subunit ribosomal RNA", at positions 44 to 943 of the family's 3401-position model. The record is from RNAcentral. Lineage: Eukaryota; Fungi; Basidiomycota; Agaricomycetes; Agaricales; Bolbitiaceae.